AGCGGAGUGGUGUAGUGGUUAGAGCACGGGCCUGGCAGUCAGAAGGAUCUGGGUUCUAAUCCCGGCUCCGCCG
This 73-nucleotide transfer RNA is filed under the name Ornithorhynchus anatinus (platypus). It matches the Rfam family "tRNA". Rfam says of the family: Transfer RNA (tRNA) molecules are approximately 80 nucleotides in length. The record is from Rfam by way of RNAcentral. Lineage: Eukaryota; Metazoa; Chordata; Mammalia; Monotremata; Ornithorhynchidae.